GACGAACGCUGGCGGCGUGCUUAACACAUGCAAGUCGAACGGAAAGGCCCUGCUUUUGUGGGGUGCUCGAGUGGCGAACGGGUGAGUAACACGUGAGUAACCUGCCCUUGACUUUCGGAUAACUUCAGGAAACUGGGGCUAAUACCGGAUAGGAGCUCCUGCUGCAUGGUGGUGGUUGGAAAGUUUCGGCGGUUGGGGAUGGACUCGCGGCUUAUCAGCUUGUUGGUGGGGUAGUGGCUUACCAAGGCUUUGACGGGUAGCCGGCCUGAGAGGGUGACCGGCCACAUUGGGACUGAGAUACGGCCCAGACUCCUACGGGAGGCAGCAGUGGGGAAUAUUGCACAAUGGGCGGAAGCCUGAUGCAGCAACGCCGCGUGCGGGAUGACGGCCUUCGGGUUGUAAACCGCUUUCGCCUGUGACGAAGCGUGAGUGACGGUAAUGGGUAAAGAAGCACCGGCUAACUACGUG
RNAcentral lists this ribosomal RNA (468 nucleotides) under uncultured bacterium. Its description in RNAcentral is "partial 16S ribosomal RNA". It matches the Rfam family "Bacterial small subunit ribosomal RNA", at positions 28 to 507 of the family's 1533-position model. The record is from RNAcentral.